GCCGGAGUGGUGGAACUGGUAGACGCGUCGGACUCAAAAUCCGGUGACCUUCGGGUCGUGUGGGUUCAAGUCCCACCUCCGGCACCA
Molecule: transfer RNA, 87 nt
Filed under: bacterium
Lineage: Bacteria
Description: tRNA-Leu
Rfam family: tRNA
About the family: Transfer RNA (tRNA) molecules are approximately 80 nucleotides in length. Their secondary structure includes four short double-helical elements and three loops (D, anti-codon, and T loops).
Source: RNAcentral